This is a non-coding RNA of Podarcis lilfordi (Lilford's wall lizard), 75 nucleotides long. Lineage: Eukaryota; Metazoa; Chordata; Lepidosauria; Squamata; Lacertidae. The record is from the annotation of a GenBank genome assembly.
GGGGAAAGCACACAGUAUUGGUAGAGUGUCUGCUUUGCAUGCAAAAGGUCCUGGGUUCAGUUCCCAGCAUCCCCA